CGUGCUUAACACAUGCAAGUCGAACGGUGAAAGAGGAAGCUUGCUUCUUCUGGAUCAGUGGCGAACGGGUGAGUAACACGUGAGUAACCUGCCCUUGACUCUGGGAUAAGCGUUGGAAACGACGUCUAAUACCGGAUACGAGCUUCAGCCGCAUGGCUAGGAGCUGGAAAGAACUUCGGUCAAGGAUGGACUCGCGGCCUAUCAGCUAGUUGGUGAGGUAACGGCCCACCAAGGCGACGACGGGUAGCCGGCCUGAGAGGGUGACCGGCCACACUGGGACUGAGACACGGCCCAGACUCCUACGGGAGGCAGCAGUGGGGAAUAUUGCACAAUGGGCGCAAGCCUGAUGCAGCAACGCCGCGUGAGGGACGACGGCCUUCGGGUUGUAAACCUCUUUUAGUAGGGAAGAAGCGAAAGUGACGGUACCUGCAGAAAAAGCACCG
This 443-nucleotide ribosomal RNA is filed under the name actinobacterium BAL227. RNAcentral's name for it is "bacterial SSU rRNA". It matches the Rfam family "Bacterial small subunit ribosomal RNA", at positions 43 to 495 of the family's 1533-position model. The record is from RNAcentral. Lineage: Bacteria; Bacillati; Actinomycetota; Actinomycetes.